GCAUUCUUUUUUUUUUUAAAAUAUUUAUUUAGUUAUCGGCAGACACAACAUCUUUGUUGGUAUGUGGUGCUGAGGAUCGAACCCAGGCCACAGGCAUGCCAGACGAUCGAUCGCACUACCGCUUGAGUCACAUCCCCAGCCCCCAGGCAAGCAUUCUUAACACUGAAAUAUACCCCCAAGCUUUUAUUGAGACAGUCUCAUUCAGUUGCCCAGGCUGGCCUUGAAUUUGCACUCCUCCUGCCUCAGCCUCCCAAAUAGCUGGGAUUACAGGUGUGUGCCACCAUGCCCAGCCCAAUUUGGUAUUUUUUUCCAGUUAUUUUUUUCUUUUGGCACAUCUUUUGUUUAGGUGUCUUCAUUUUGUUUCCAUAACUUCCAAUUAAAACGGUAGCUUGGGGCUGGAAUUGUGGCUCAGUGGCAGAGCACUUGCCUCGAAAGUAUGAGGCACUUAGUGGGGUUUGAUCCUCAGCACCACAUGAAAAUAAAUAAAUAAAUUAAAGGUAUUGUGUCCAUCUACAACUAAAAAAUUUUUUAAAAUGAUAACUUGUUCAUUUUUCCAUAUGGCUAGAAACUCCUCACUGGGUUUUCCUGUAAUUCUCAUAUAUGUGUGUGUGUGUGUGUGUGUGUGUGUGUGUGUGUAUAGUGAAUUUGUUCUCCAAGCCAUUUUAAAGUGCUUUGACAAAUAUGAAAACUUUGUAUUAAAGCUUGAUUCAUAUUUUAUCUAUGUAGAAGUGUCUUUAUUUUUUGUUAUUGCAAAAAUGCUAUAUUUUAGGGGCUGGGGUUGUGGCUCAGUGGUAGUACACUUGCCUUGCAUGUGUGAGGCACUGGGUUCGAUCCUCAGCACCACAUUAAAAAAACAAAAGAAAAGUUAUUUUUUACAAUGCUGUAUUUUAGUAAAUAAAGUCAGACUAUACUGAUUUAUAUAAAGUAAAAGUGAACAUCUGAGAAAAUAUCUGUACUCGAGAAAAAGGGCACUAUUUUAUUUAUUUUUUAGUUGUAGUUGAACACAAUACUCUUAUUUUAUUCAUUUUUACAUGGUGCUGAGGAUGGAACCCAGGGCCUUGCACGUGCAAGGUGAGCACUUGACCGCUGAGCCGCAACUCCAGCCGCAAGG
RNAcentral lists this long non-coding RNA (1111 nucleotides) under Marmota monax (woodchuck). The record is from RNAcentral. Lineage: Eukaryota; Metazoa; Chordata; Mammalia; Rodentia; Sciuridae.